AUCCAGCUGACGAGUCCCAAAUAGAACGAAACAUGCGUCCUGGAU
Molecule: non-coding RNA, 45 nt
Organism: Schistosoma margrebowiei
Lineage: Eukaryota; Metazoa; Platyhelminthes; Trematoda; Strigeidida; Schistosomatidae
Source: Rfam